UGGGGAAUUUUGGGCAAUGGGCGAAAGCCUGACCCAGCAACGCCGCGUGAAGGAUGAAGUAUUUCGGUAUGUAAACUUCGAAAGAAUAGGAAGAAUAAAUGACGGUACUAUUUAUAAGGUCCGGCUAACUACGUGCCAGCAGCCGCGGUAAUACGUAGGGACCAAGCGUUGUUCGGAUUUACUGGGCGUAAAGGGCGCGUAGGCGGCAAUUCAAGUCAUCUGUGAAAUCUCCGGGCUUAACUCGGAACGGUCAGAUGAUACUGCUUUGCUAGAGUGCAGAAGGGGCAAUCGGAAUUCUUGGUGUAGCGGUGAAAUGCGUAGAUAUCAAGAGGAACACCUGAGGUGAAGACGGGUUGCUGGGCUGACACUGACGCUGAGGCGCGAAAGCCAGGGGAGCAAACGGGAUUAGAUACCCCUGUAGUCCCUGAGCGGGCUGGCAAGGCGCAU
RNAcentral lists this ribosomal RNA (447 nucleotides) under uncultured bacterium. Its description in RNAcentral is "bacterial SSU rRNA". It matches the Rfam family "Bacterial small subunit ribosomal RNA", at positions 355 to 825 of the family's 1533-position model. The record is from RNAcentral.